This 496-nucleotide ribosomal RNA is filed under the name uncultured bacterium. RNAcentral describes it as "partial 16S ribosomal RNA". It matches the Rfam family "Bacterial small subunit ribosomal RNA", at positions 28 to 507 of the family's 1533-position model. The record is from RNAcentral.
GAUGAACGCUGGCGGCGUGCCUAAUACAUGCAAGUCGAGCGAACAGACGAGGAGCUUGCUCCUCUGACGUUAGCGGCGGACGGGUGAGUAACACGUGGAUAACCUACCUAUACGACUGGGAUAACUUCGGGAAACCGGAGCUAAUACCGGAUAAUAUAUUGAACCUCAUUGUUCAAUAGUGAAAGACGGUUUUGCUGUCACUUAUAGAUUGAUCCGCGCCGCAUUAGUUAGUUGGUAAGGUAACGGCUUACCAAGGCAACGAUGGGUAGCCGACCUAGGGGGGGGAUCGCCAGCCGGGAAACGAGGAAGCGUCCCAACUCCCGAGGGGAGGCACAGGCGGGAAUCCUACGGAAAGGGGCAAAGGCUUAUGGUGGAAACGCGGCGGAAGGAUGAAGGAGCUCGGAUGGGUAAAAGCUGGUGUUAGGGGAGAAACAAAGCUGUAUUAACCGAGAUGAUUUUGACGGUACCGGAAGAAGAAGCCCCGGCUAACUACGUG